RNAcentral lists this ribosomal RNA (539 nucleotides) under Staphylococcus pseudintermedius. RNAcentral's name for it is "bacterial SSU rRNA". It matches the Rfam family "Bacterial small subunit ribosomal RNA", at positions 16 to 537 of the family's 1533-position model. Lineage: Bacteria; Bacillati; Bacillota; Bacilli; Caryophanales; Staphylococcaceae. The record is from RNAcentral.
AUCCUGGCUCAGGAUGAACGCUGGCGGCGUGCCUAAUACAUGCAAGUCGAGCGAACAGAUAAGGAGCUUGCUCCUUUGACGUUAGCGGCGGACGGGUGAGUAACACGUGGGUAACCUACCUAUAAGACUGGAAUAACUCCGGGAAACCGGGGCUAAUGCCGGAUAACAUGUUGAACCGCAUGGUUCUACAGUGAAAGACGGUCUUGCUGUCACUUAUAGAUGGACCCGCGCCGUAUUAGCUAGUUGGUGGGGUAACGGCCUACCAAGGCGACGAUACGUAGCCGACCUGAGAGGGUGAUCGGCCACACUGGAACUGAGACACGGUCCAGACUCCUACGGGAGGCAGCAGUAGGGAAUCUUCCGCAAUGGGCGAAAGCCUGACGGAGCAACGCCGCGUGAGUGAUGAAGGUCUUCGGAUCGUAAAGCUCUGUUGUUAGGGAAGAACAAAUGUGUAAGUAACUGUGCACAUCUUGACGGUACCUAACCAGAAAGCCACGGCUAACUACGUGCCAGCAGCCGCGGUAAUACGUAGGUGGCAA